GCUCCCUUCGUCUAGUGGCCUAGGACGCGGGCCUCUCACGCCUGAAACAGGGGUUCAAUUCCCCUAGGGAGCG
Molecule: non-coding RNA, 73 nt
Organism: Gammaproteobacteria bacterium
Lineage: Bacteria; Pseudomonadati; Pseudomonadota; Gammaproteobacteria
Source: Rfam